UCGCAGGUCUGGUAUUCCCCCUGUUUUUAAAGGGAACAAGAAGGAUCUGGCAGAAGGAGGCCAGCGGUGCCAGAAAAGCUCCCUACCCGCACCCACCGCUGCAGUGACGCGAUUCGUAUUCGUCCAGUUUGGAGUGAAUGUUCCCGAAGUUUACAAAGAUGCGGAAAUUUACAGAUUUCAGAGGAGAGACACCGACAGAGGAGCGAUCCACAUGGCCCCUGCAGGGCAUGGAUCCUCCCCACGCCUAACUUGGCGUCACCCCUCCGUGGCCCAGCAGCUCAUAAAAGCCCCCAAAGAGACCGGAAGUCCAUCGCUCCCCCCUGGCUCAGCACCGUGGCUCAUUUCCCAGAGCAAACACCAGGAAUCGUGCAGAAGGCUGGUCUCUGAAGGUGGCCUGGGCCGCCGACUGAACCUCCUUCCCUCCUGGCAGGUAGCUGGACGGUCGACCCUUCGGGUUCACUGAGGAGAGUGGCGGGGUCCUGGUGGACAGCGACAUUGCUGUGAUCUGGUGUGCUGGGUGAGGACCCUGCCCCAGGACACUCAGGAGCCGCACUGUCCAACCAUCCAGAGUGUGGAGUGUGAGGACCGUCACCCAAGGGUGGAUUGAUCCCCGGGCGGAUGGGAUUAGCUGGGUGGUAACUGAAGCGCGGUAGUGGCUUUGGGGUAUGUGGUCUGCAGCUGGGCGCGCUGUCUUUCUCGGCUUCCUGACCAUCGUGAGAGCUGCUCCUCUCCAUCGCGAGGUCCUGCCUCCCCUUGAGCCCCAAGGAAUGGAGCCAGCCCUCUCUGGACUAGCAUCUCGGAAACGUGAACCCCUUAAAUAAACUCUCCCUC
RNAcentral lists this long non-coding RNA (831 nucleotides) under Marmota monax (woodchuck). Lineage: Eukaryota; Metazoa; Chordata; Mammalia; Rodentia; Sciuridae. The record is from RNAcentral.